Molecule: ribosomal RNA, 287 nt
Filed under: uncultured soil bacterium
Lineage: Bacteria
Description: partial 16S ribosomal RNA
Rfam family: Bacterial small subunit ribosomal RNA
Source: RNAcentral
AGAUUGAACGCUGGCGGCAGGCCUAACACAUGCAAGUCGAGCGGCAGCACGGGUACUUGUACCUGGUGGCGAGCGGCGGACGGGUGAGUAAUGCCUAGGAAUCUGCCUGGUAGUGGGGGAUAACGGCUCGGAAACGGACGCUAAUACCGCAUACGUCCUACGGGAGAAGCAGGGGACCUUCGGGCCUUGCGCUAUCAGAUGAGCCUAGGUCGGAUUAGCUAGUUGGUGGGUAAUGGCUCACCUAAGGCGACGACGUCCGUAACUGGUCUGGAGACGGAUGAUCAGUC